Molecule: long non-coding RNA, 1101 nt
Organism: Acinonyx jubatus (cheetah)
Lineage: Eukaryota; Metazoa; Chordata; Mammalia; Carnivora; Felidae
Exons: 2
Source: RefSeq, a predicted model, not a curated record
GGGAAUUGACAGGGAGAGGCGGGCUGUGGCGGGCGAGUGGGGGGAGCCUGGGAAGGGGGAGGAGAGAAGCGGGGACGGAAUGGGGAAAGGCUACAGAGGAGUACGCGGAGGACGGACGGAGGCAGGGUACGCGGAGAGGUGGGGGCUGGCGCUGAGGCAGGAACGGAAGAGGGGCGGGAGUCUACCCCAUCCCAGUUCCGGCUCCCGGCCUCCCAGUGAUUCGGUCAGUCCCCGGCCCGGCGCUGGAAGGGGAGAGGUGACGGGGCGGGGAGGAGGGGGUGGUCCCGGUGUCCUCCCCCUAACACACCCCCCACCCAGCCCGGGCCUCAUUUGCCUAAUGUAAUGCGGCUGAACUCUCGCUGAACUCGCCUGGCGGCGCCUCACCUCCGGGUGACCCACCCACCGCUGCCCGUGACAUCACCCGCUUGCCAGCCCGCUCGCGGGGCUCGCCCACCGGCCCACUGGCCCCCUCAGGCCAGGCCAGCGUCCCUGGAGCCGCGGAGAGUGGCCGCAGGAGGCGAGGGACCAGGGCGCGCGUGGCCAAGUGUUAGCGCCACGAAUGCAACGUGCAGCGUGUGCCGAGUGUCCCGGGUGUGACAUUGUGCAGCUCAGGCGUAGUGUCGGGAUGAGACACCCGGCUUGUGUCAUUGUCUGUGACAUCAUGUGUGACUCCGGCCGCCCGCCCGCCGGAACCCGACGCGGCAGCGCGUCUGCUUUGGCAUAAACGCUUGCAGAAGGGGCUCUCCUCCCCACGCUCUGCGUGCUUCCGGCGAGCAAAGCCCCGCCCAAGGUGUCUCCCAGCGGCGGAACCAGGAUUGGCCCCCCACCGCGCAAUCCAGCCCCGGAGAGAUAAGAGGAGGGGCUGGUGCCUUCCAGCUGACCACUUCCUCCCGGAAGCCCUCGGGAUGCCAGUUUCAGUGGAAGAAAGGUCUAGGUUGGGUAGUCUCCAGGCACACACACUAGGAAUACGUGGACAGAAAGGAAAAGUCUGGAGCCAGUCUUUUGGGGUUCCCAUCUCUAGCUCCUCUACUGAUUGCUUCCAACUUCCCUGCCCCCACCCCACAAAUUGAAACAAAAUAAGAAUAACAACUGUGGCUUUUA